This 584-nucleotide ribosomal RNA is filed under the name uncultured bacterium. Its description in RNAcentral is "bacterial SSU rRNA". It matches the Rfam family "Bacterial small subunit ribosomal RNA", at positions 97 to 694 of the family's 1533-position model. The record is from RNAcentral.
GGCGGACGGGUGAGUAACGCGUGAGGAACCUGCCUUUCAGAGGGGGACAACAGUUGGAAACGACUGCUAAUACCGCAUGACACAUAGAGAUCGCAUGGUUUUUAUGUCAAAGAUUUAUCGCUGAAAGAUGGCCUCGCGUCUGAUUAGCUAGUUGGUGAGGUAACGGCCCACCAAGGCGACGAUCAGUAGCCGGACUGAGAGGUUGACCGGCCACAUUGGGACUGAGAUACGGCCCAGACUCCUACGGGAGGCAGCAGUGGGGAAUAUUGGGCAAUGGGCGCAAGCCUGACCCAGCAACGCCGCGUGAAGGAAGAAGGCUUUCGGGUUGUAAACUUCUUUUGUCGGGGACGAGUAGAAGACGGUACCUGGCGAAUAAGCCACGGNUAACUACGUGCCAGCAGCCGCGGUAAUACGUAGGUGGCAAGCGUUGUCCGGAUUUACUGGGUGUAAAGGGCGUGUAGCCGGGAAGGCAAGUCAGAUGUGAAAUCCACGGGCUUAACUCGUGAACUGCAUUUGAAAACUACUUUUUCUUGAGUAUCGGAGAGGCAAUCGGAAUUUCCUAGUGUAGCGGUGAAAUGCGUAGA